CCAUCCCCGCAUGCAGGAGGAUUUGCCUCCAGCCCUCCCACGGCUGAAUCCAAGCCAUUCUGAACCACCACCUCACAACAGACUCAGAGCAUCUUUCUCUGCUGCAGUUGCAAACCCGUCAGAGUUUCUCUUGAGUGUUUUGCACCUUGUGAUGACGUCUGUCUGGGCUCACACCCUUCAUGUAGCUGCAGCUCUCCCUUGUCGCCCUAACUUAGGGCAGUGCUGUGGGGAGCAGAGCAGGGCUGGGAGCCAUCAAAGGUGCCACGUGAGGACUUGUUAAGACCCACAUGCAGAAUAUGAGCUUCAGCCGACCCUCCCUGGUGAGUACUGAAACUUCAGGGGCUGAACAUUUUCUCCCUGCUGGUUUUCUUCAACUUUUUUUUACCUCUUUGAAUGAAACAGACAUGUUGAACUAUUUUGAUACGACUGCGGCAAUGGGAAUACGCUUUCCUGAUGCUUCCAAUCCUGCAAAAUCACCUGCUCUUCUCCAACCAAAAAUACAAGAGUUGACCUUCUGAUGUUGAAGGAAAACAAACAAGCCUCUGGAUUCCCCUCAGGAAAACAAAUGGUCUCUGCUGUUCCAGCAUGGCCCUAUUUGGACAGCUCAAGGCUGGAAAUUCAAAAUUAGCAUUUGACAAUGAAACAAUCCAGGCAUGGAUUUUAAAAAGAGCAAUGAAUGGAAAGAGUUUUACCGUCAUUUAGGGAACUCUUCCCUUUCUUCUCUGACCACUUUUCUUUGCUGCUUGGUGCUACUGCCCUAGGAGGAGAUUUUGGGCUGCCCUGCCUUCCUUCAUCUCUGCAGGUUCCUGCUGGUGCUGCCCUAAUCUGGGUGAAGAGGAGAAAAUGUCUCUCCAGGCUCACACUAUGCAUAUGGAGAGUGGAAGAGGUCCAUGUGGGGAUGGGAGUAAUCCUGACAGGGGUAUGAACACUGGGGCUUCUUGACCAGGCUGUAGCCAUUUACCUUGCAGAGCCAGUGUGUGCUCUGCUGCCCAGCAGAGCAGUGGGGACUAAAGCAAUUAGAAGCAGUGGUACAUGGCUAAGAUGGAGGAGGAAAGGGCAGCACACGUGACUUUAUGGGCAGGUGUGAGGUCCCCAUCCCUGGCAGCAGCACGCAGCACAGCAGGGAAAACCCUUCCCCAGAUCCUGGCAUCCCUUCUUCCUCAUAGUGCUGCUACAAACAGCACAGCAGUGACUCACCCAGGGAGCAGGGCUGAGCUGGCUCUGCUCACCCUGUCCCUUGACCCCGUGUUCCUGCCAGUGAUGCAUGUUUUUCCAUACAGGUCCCACACAGUGGCUGUGAGCACCCCAGAGGGGAUUUUUAAAUGGACAUGGCCAAAGGAUUGCAGCCUGGGAGCAAAUCAAAGCAAUCCUUAAGGGAUAGAGGAGCCAUUCCCACAGCGACCUGUGCUGUGAGGCACGAACCUGCCUGCAGAAAGCACACAAUGCAAGGCCAGCUCUUGGCACGGCAUGGUUCCUGGUGUGCUGGCCAGACAUCUCUGCGUGGGGACAUCCCUGCUACCUGCUGGCAGAUUGCAGCCUGUGCCCACCAAAAGGAAGGCCCACCUGAUGCCACUCGUUUGCUGGGAAGAUGGUGCUCUGACUUCCCUUCAGGCUUUCUGGAAGAUGCCAGAGAGGACCGUUAGCACAGCAGGAUACUUCCUAGCAGACCCUACACCAUAUCUGUGCUCAGUAAAUACGUCUGCUUGUAUCCCAUCCAUUUCCCUGACACCCAAGACCUGCCACUGCUCACCCCCACAUCAUGUGCCCUUUGGGUCAAGUUGACUGGGAAUGCACCCAACCCACCUACAUUUGUGUUUGUGCAAAGGUUGUUUUGUCUCUGGCAGGUCCUGAUUCUUUUUCCAUGGUGGUUUUGCACUGCAUUGCAUUGCGUUGCCAUCAUCCUUCCAAGAAAAGCUCUCCAAGUACCUUCUGCAGGUGUCAUAGCACCAUUUCAUAAAUGUCUUUGGGGACAGAUUUGCAAUGCAUUAAGUACAGCUGUCAGCAAGAUGUCCCCACCAUUUUAACGCUAGAGCUGGGUCAGAGCCACCUCCCAGGGAACAGAUGACCUGAAAGGUGUCCUCAAUCUAUCAGAUCCUCCAAAUUAAGCCCUGCAAAAUGAGACCAGUAACGAGGCCAAAGAAGGGACGCAAUGUUGUGCAAAUACUGCAGGCUUAUCUGCUUAUCUGGAUUAUGCAACAGGCCUAGAAGUGCUUCUAUCCUAAGAACUUUUAAAAUGGUCUUCUGAGCUCUCAGGAGGUGUUGCAACACAGUGGCUCACUGCACUCCAAGGUGUGAGGCAUGUUCUGAGGAAAUUCUUGACUUACCUGUUGGCUUCCAGGCAAACUCAGUCAGUGUGUGCUACCCAGCACUUGCUCAUAGCUCAACGUAUGACUUUCCUGCUUCCAGAGAAGCCAGGGAGGAAGCAGAGAUGGUGCCUUGCAGAAAGCGUAAGGGCACAGCCAUGUUGCUGUGCUCUGCUUGUGGCGGAUGGGAGCCAGGAUAAGGCCACAAAGCCAUUCAGCUCUCUGAACUCCUACACUGCUUUUCUAACUUGACCCUGACAGCAGGAACUGAGCAGGACAGCUGUGCCAGGAUGAGUGGAAUCAGGACCCGUAAGCUCCGAAGCGUUAGGGUCAGCAAAGCCAUUUAUGUCAUACGGGAGGGAUGACAAAGGCAGUGACCUACAUGCAGGUCUGUCUGGUUGCACCACAGACAGGGAAAAGGCCACAGUGCAAGAAAUCCUCCUGUGAUGGAAGUGAAGGUGAGCACUACCCUGGGAGCAGAGCUCUUCUCUGGAGAUGAGUUCCCCUAUGCUGAGCUGGAGAGCUUGACUUCCUCAUCUCCUGUCUGGUUUCCAUAUGAUGCUCGAGGUAUGGAUGGCCCCAUACCAAUCUCAGCUCCACCAUACUGGUGAUUUGAGGUGUUUCUCUCAGAGAUCAUAGGUAAUUCAACAGAAAUAUACAGCCAUGACCAGGAGUUAGAGGGUCACAUACCUCUAAUUGGGCUCUGAGAGCCAGGCCAGGUCUUUAUUUCUCACACUAUAUCCAAUGCUCUCUGACUUGGUGGUGAGACCAGUAGAGAUGUUCAGAUGUGCAUUCUCUGUGCUACCCGGGGAGUUUGGGAGCACUCAGAUUUGGGGCAGAGCCCGUUCCCACUGCUCUGCAGGGAGCAGGCAUCUCCACCAGGCUUUUCCAGCAGCAGACACACCAGCAAAGUGCAUCCCACACUGCUGGAGCUGCAAGCAGCAGCACUGCUAUCGGUUGCCUCGUUACUUCCAGUAGAUCCCUGGGCUGGGUGCUCACUGUGUGCUUGCAAGGCUCAGUGUCUAGUGCAUAAGCCCUGGUUAUUCUUGUCCUCCUGGUUUUCUCCCAUUCCCUGCCCUAAUUUCUCCUCUCUGGAGCAGGCUUGCCUCUCCUGAACCCUCAAGCUAAAACUCUUCAUGUCCCCUUCCAACAUUCUUCUUCCCCGGAAGAGCUGCAGACAUACGGACUCCCAUGGGAGCAGAGUCCUCUUGUCCCAUGCACACACUGGAUUAUCUCCCAGCAGAUGCACAGGGGCAGCGAUGGGGACCUGCAGCCCCUUCCCAGUUUGCCUGGCUCUAACUGACAUAUCUCUGGGAGCUCAAACAGAACUCAAAUUGCACAAAUCCCUCUGAAAUACACGCUUGGCACUGGAAGCUCUGAUCGUCCCCGAGCAUAAGCUAAAUAGGAUUUUCUUCAAGUUUACCUUAAUACAAAGACCAGCUGCAUCCUGUCAGGCUGGAGGAGAUCGGCUUUGCGAGCGGAGGAGAAAAGAGUGAGAAAGAAGCAAAUUAAAGUAUUCCUGAGAGGGGAGAGGAUGUGUGAAUCCCUGAUGUGAAAUGGCCUGAAAUGAAAUCGCUGCAACAAGCAGCCUCCACAGAGUGCUUCUAGACUUGUGCUGUUGCCUUUCAUCGACCAAUUUAUUUCACCAAAGGCAAAAAUGCACGUCUGAGUGGACAGGACUCUUUGGCAGGAAUGGUACUGCUCUGUAAGGAGAUGGGAAGGAAAUGGAAGGGAGAAGCCACGGAAGCAUCGUCCACACGCACAGCCCAGUGCAGCCAAAUGGGCAAACGGCGUGUCAGCAUUUGCAGCUCAUCAGCAAGGAGUUCUGGCUGCUCCCCUGGGUAUGACGCCCCCUCCAUCUCCACUCUCCUCAGAAGCAGCCAGCCCAAGCGGAAUCAUUCUGCCCUUUCACUCAGCAGCAGCACUGGCUUUUGCAAAUUAAGGGCCAGAACAGAGAGGUGAUGAGACAAAAACUCAGCCCAGCUUUCAGACAUAGUUGCUACCCACCGCCUUAAGGGCAGAGAUCCGUACCCUGUGUGUGUGCUGCUGUUGGGACAUGGAGGCAGAGACAGUUCAUUCUGCUUUUUUUUUUCCAUUGUGCAUGGGUACACAACGUGGCUCUCAGCCUCCCCUACAAUAAUGCUUUGUUUCCCUCAACCAACACCACUCUGUCAGCGAUGUAAAUAAUUUUAGCACAUCCAAACAGGAAGUGGCUGAGUGUUUGGGUGUCUGAAUCAACAUCCUGGAGGCUGGGCCUUUGCCACCAGUGCAAUAACUAAAUGCAUGAGUCGCCUAUGGAUGGAAGCGCAGGUCUUGGAAAUGGCAGAGCCAGUAAAACUCAGUGCCAGAAUGUGACCGUUGCCAAAUAAUACUGUUGCUUGUCCAGUUUGUGUGGCCGCAGGCUGCUUCAUCUCAGCUUCUCCGUGCUGAUGCAAUCAUGUUUCCUUUCUGCUUGUGGCAUUGGUAUGGAAAGAGUAGAACGGAGGACUGGCACUAUUGCGUUGGUGCGCAGUACUCGAAGACUCUCAGGGUUGUAAGCUCAAUGGGCCAGUGGGGAAGCCAUGCACAGAAGGGAAGUUCUUCACAGAGAGAGUGUUGAGGUGCUGGAACAGGCUGUCCAGAGAGGCUGUGGAUGCUCUGUGCCUGGAGGUGUUCAUCCAGCUUGGAUGGAGCCCUGGGCAGCCUGGUCUGAUACCAGACCUGGAGGUUGGUGGCCCUACCUGCAGUUGGAACUUGAUGAUCCUUGAGGUCCCUUCCAACCCAAGCCAUUCUAUGCUUCCAUGACUUCAGAGCCACCAAUCAGAGCUUCUGAGCUUCCUGGGCCAAUUUUAGGAGAAGGAGUGGGCCCAUCUGCUGGUCCUGCUGGGGAUGCUGCAUGUGGGGUCGCUUCCAGAUCUGGUGAACACCCACGGGAAGCUGUCAUCAGCUGCUUGGCAGAAGCCAAAGGUUCCUACCAAAGUACUUCCCUGAGCCCUCCUGGUUUCCUGUCAAUAGAAAUAGUCGUCUCCUAACUUACACCCAUAAGAUCUUCUACAGGUGUUACUCAUUGCUCUCCUCUUUUAUCUCUCGCGCUGUUGGAGUGUGUUGGAAGGGUUUUUUUCUGGCCCAGGAAGAACACAUUUAUGAGCCAGUGCCCCGAAGCUCCUAUUGUUAGCUAUUUAAAAAGAAAGAAACAGAAGCCCCUCCCCCAAAACAACAAAGCCAAAGAGUAAGCUACAGAGCACACAGCCCCAUUUCAACAAUGCUAUCGUUAAUAAAACACGUGGAGGUUGCAGAGGGAGUAAUGCACUGUGCUGGCAUUGUGUUCUCACCUUGCACAAGUGUGUUUCAGGCAGAGAUGCUGAUCUCACAGGGACACUUCUGCAUCCCGCACCAAGCUGUUGCUUUGAGGCAGGUGUGGAUGGAGUGCUUUGUGAGGCACUGAGAGCAUCAACGCAUGCUCUGCCAUUUCACUGAAGAAAGUGGAAGCAUUUAACGAUGGGCUGGUGUGUAGGAGCAGUGACAUUUCUGCACUGUUAUUCAUCACGACCACGAUGGGCCAUGUUUGUCAAGAUGCCCUGUUUCGGAGAAGGCUCUCACACAUCCACUCUUGUUAUUCGUAACUGAGCAAAAAUGCAAUAUUUAAAAUGCAGCUGGCAAUGGCUUGGAGUCUGAAUCCUGCCUUGUCCUGGUGAAUCUCAGACAGUGAACCUGAGGAGAUGGCAGAUUGGAAGGGAAAACAGUCCGGAUUCGGGAGGGUGAAGUUCCGAUAUCUUGCAGAAUAAAAUUAAAAUCUCAAUUCAGAUCAAAACAGAGCUGUUAUAUCUCACGGGGGAAAACCUCCCAGUGUUUUCCACCAACUCAAGUAUCACUAUUAACAGAGAGUGACUUUUCUCACAGUGAAUGUGGUGUUGGUGGAAAUGCCAGAGGCGGCUGUAGGAAAUAGGACAUGACUUUUUGCUCUGAAUAAAAAUGUUUGGGGGCCGUAUACCCGUGGCUGCAGAGCUGUGCUGUGCCUUUGUCCUGCUGUGGGUGUGCAGAGCAAUGGGGUGGGAGACUCUCCGUCCUCUCUGCUUUGUGAAUAAGGAAAUAUUUCUCAGUCCACAGUGUCCACAGGCUGUGGUCCUUCCCAUCAGGGCAGGGAAUGGAUCUUGCUUCUCUGCAUGACAGCCAGCCUGCGGGGAGAGGUGUGUGGGGCCCAGGGACAACUCCUGACCUGCUGCUGUGGGGGAGAUCCACAGAUGGAGGCACGACUUGGAGUGAACACCCAAAGUCCUGGUUAGGACACAGUCCUGGGGUCUGAGUUAGAAGUGAACUAUUUCUUGCCAUUUGGGUGGUGUUUAUGGCAGUACCAGCUCCAAGACAAGCCCAUCACUUCCUGAAGGACUUGCUAAAGCUCAGCAGGAGAUGACAAAGCCCAUAUCAAAGCCAUGGGAGCAGCGACUGCUGCCACACAGGGGACACCUGUAACCUAUGUGCAGUGUUGGGGGCAUCAUGCUUUCUUCUUGAUCUGCUCUUGAACUUUUCCCCGGCUCCCCUUGCCCUGUACAAGGCACAGACAUGCCAGUGUUCCUGUAGCAGUUGGCGUUGUGCUCCAGCUGUGGAUCUAAUUGUGCUUUCUGAGCUGCAUGCAGGCAGCCCAGGGCAGUGCCACCGGUCAUCCCCAGCCACAGGUUCCUCCCAGCUGUGGUGCAGAGCUGGGCUGGGACAGGACUGAGCCAGGAUCCUGCCGCAGUCACCCCUACAGAUCGUGCUUCCAGCAUGAAGCUCCAACUCUGCAGAGAGAAGGCAGUGAGGAUGCUUUCGGGGUCCACGCAAGGCAGGAUGAGACACCCAUGCUACAGUUCUGCUAUCAGUGCAUGCUUGAUUGCUAACACCCAGCGAACCACCUCGGGCAGCAGUUCUGUUUACUCUCAGCUGGAGCCUGGCUUCCUCACUGUGCAGCAUCCAGGCCUUCACAAGCCAGCGGAGUUGCACCUUCACAGCC
Long non-coding RNA from Gallus gallus (chicken), 7269 nucleotides. NCBI's taxonomy places the organism in Eukaryota, Metazoa, Chordata, Aves, Galliformes, Phasianidae. The record is from Ensembl.